Molecule: long non-coding RNA, 202 nt
Filed under: Chrysolophus pictus (golden pheasant)
Lineage: Eukaryota; Metazoa; Chordata; Aves; Galliformes; Phasianidae
Description: lncRNA (ENSCPIG00010013921.1)
Source: RNAcentral
CCAUGGCAAACCCCAGGCUGCAGUUGUACGUGCACGGCUUCCAUAAAACACUCAGAGACUGAUGAGGAAGCCAACAUUAAUACCAGAGUAUCAGCUGCUGCACACGGUUUGAACACGAAGCACCAACAGCAACAGAGGAGCCUUCACAGCCAGUAGUGCUACGUAACUUCACCACCAGGAGAGUAACGAGACGCUGAACUUU